GCAUCAUUAUAUGUCCAAAUCAUCAAGCCUUGCCAACUUUCAGCUCAAGUGAAUACACUAUGUGAGUGCCCCUUCAUGAUCAAGUUUCUGGACCAAUUAUGCUGUUACAAAGCAACUAUGUUGUUUUGUGGUCCACUUCUCCUCCAAAUUAACAGGAUUAUAGUCCUUACUAAGCUAAUCACCUAAGACAUCAAGUUUGGCCCCAGCUCUCCUCUGAUGAUCACAGGUGUGAAGCCAACUUUGCUACAUCAAACUUUCAUCAAUGACUCAUCGAUGACUCAGUUGGCUACAGAGCCCCUUCCCUCUAGCUUUCACUUUCUACCGUCUUCAAGGUGGAGAGACAACACCCCAAACAACGUUUGCCUGGCCAUUGCCUCCUGUUCGUGCCAUGUCGCGUGGUGACCGCGUUGGAUUUUGCCUACGCACGCGUUGUGCUCUCUGUGGCCGCGUCCAGGACGUCGCCUAGCUCCGGCCCCUCCCUCUCUCGUCGUCUUCGCGCACGUGAGCGUGUCUAGCGGCUUCCACUCGUCGUCACCUUCACCUUGGACCCCUCUCCCCCUCCGGCAGCUUCCUCGUCGGGGCUCGCUGCCGCGUGCCCACGGGCCAACACAUGGCUCUGUUCGUGCUCGUCUCUUCCUCCUCGUGCCCCUGGCUCCGUCCACUGCCCCGUGAACCUCCCCUGUACCCUCUCGUCGCCUACCAUCGAGCAAGCUCGCGUGCCCAUGCGUCCGCGGCUCCGGCGACGUGUCCCGCGGCCGUGCUCGGCCACCCGCGUCGCCCUGCCUAUUUAAGCCAUCCCCGAGCUCCCUAGACCACUCCAGGCUCUUCUCCAUCCUCCUCUACACCUCCCCGACCCCUCAAUCCAUCGCCAGAGCCUCUCCCCUCAUCCCUCCGCCACAAUGGCCGUCGCGAAGCUCGGCUUAAAUACGAGCUAGCCGAUCCCCUCCUCCACUCCCUGACCUCUCCACGAGCUUCCCAGUGCUACGGAGAUCCUCCCCCAACCCAUCCGUUCGUCGCCGGGACUCCUGUGGCCGCGCGUCCCCAACCUUUUGGCCGCCGCCGUUGCUCUCUGCCACCGCGGCCACCUCGUGCUCCGCCCCUCCCCGGCGCCCACGACCAGGCCAGGUGGAUGCGGCGCUGUUCCCCGGUCCCUCCGGCGGCCUCGCCCCGGCCUGAGGUGGCCGGAGCCGCCCGGCCCGUCGCCGGCAACGCCCUCCCGUGCUCCCUCCUGUGUUUCCAUCGGGGGCAGGGAGAGGAGGAAGGAGACGACGCGCCUGCCCCCCCUCUGCCCGCGGGGACCGCAUGUCGGCCUCUGGCCGUUAACCCAGCCCGGGACACGUCAUUAAGUGGAGGCAUAUUUUCAGAAUACGUUUGAUGAAAGCGUACUUUGAAUCAACUGCGGCUUAAAAUGCGCUUUCUUUUGCAGAAAACAUAUGCGGCUGAAGGCGCUUUCUGUUUUAACCUCCAAGGGCCUGUCUGCGAUUUUUUUUACAGAUUGGUCCCUUUGCUUCAAACACUCGUAUCUCCGCAACCGUAACUCCGUUUGAGCCCCCUCCGAGAGAGAAGCGUUCCCGCGAAUCGUCCCGUGACUUCACCGCACUUCUUCUCAGAGUAUUCUUCAUCCCCAGGCAAGCCACGACAACCACUUGCAUGAUGGAUUUGUAGUAGCCAUGGUUUUCACUUUAAUAUUUAAUAAAUGACUGCUCGUUUAA
Molecule: long non-coding RNA, 1712 nt
Organism: Aegilops tauschii subsp. strangulata
Lineage: Eukaryota; Viridiplantae; Streptophyta; Magnoliopsida; Poales; Poaceae
Source: RefSeq, a predicted model, not a curated record